AGUGAACGCUGGCGGUAGGCCUAACACAUGCAAGUCGAACGGCAGCACAGUAAGAGCUUGCUCUUACGGGUGGCGAGUGGCGGACGGGUGAGGAAUACAUCGGAAUCUACUUUUUCGUGGGGGAUAACGUAGGGAAACUUACGCUAAUACCGCAUACGACCUACGGGUGAAAGCAGGGGAUCUUCGGACCUUGCGCGAUUGAAUGAGCCGAUGUCGGAUUAGCUAGUUGGCGGGGUAAAGGCCCACCAAGGCGACGAUCCGUAGCUGGUCCGAGAGGAUGAUCAGCCACACUGGAACUGGGACACGGUCCAGACUCCUACGGGAGGCAGCAGUGGGGAAUAUUGGACAAUGGGCGCAAGCCUGAUCCAGCCAUACCGCGUGGGUGAAGAAGGCCUUCGGGUUGUAAAGCCCUUUUGUUGGGAAAGAAAAGCAGCAGGUUAAUACCCCGCUGUUCUGACGGUACCCAAAGAAUAAGCACCGGCUAACUUCGUG
RNAcentral lists this ribosomal RNA (492 nucleotides) under uncultured bacterium. RNAcentral describes it as "partial 16S ribosomal RNA". It matches the Rfam family "Bacterial small subunit ribosomal RNA", at positions 29 to 507 of the family's 1533-position model. The record is from RNAcentral.